Molecule: ribosomal RNA, 479 nt
Filed under: uncultured bacterium
Lineage: Bacteria
Description: partial 16S ribosomal RNA
Rfam family: Bacterial small subunit ribosomal RNA
Source: RNAcentral
GAUGAACGCUAGCGGGAGGCCUAACACAUGCAAGCCGAGCGGUAGAGUUUCUUCGGAAACUUGAGAGCGGCGCACGGGUGCGUAACACGUGUGCAACCUACCUUUAUCUGGGGGAUAGCCUUUCGAAAGGAAGAUUAAUACCCCAUAAUAUAAUGAUUGGCAUCAAUUAUUAUUGAAAACUCCGGUGGAUAGAGAUGGGCACGCGCAAGAUUAGAUAGUUGGUGAGGUAACGGCUCACCAAGUCAAUGAUCUUUAGGGGUCCUGAGAGGGAGAUCCCCCACACUGGUACUGAGACACGGACCAGACUCCUACGGGAGGCAGCAGUGAGGAAUAUUGGACAAUGGGUGAGAGCCUGAUCCAGCCAUCCCGCGUGAAGGAUGACGGUCCUAUGGAUUGUAAACUUCUUUUGUACAGGGAUAAACCUACUCUCGUGAGGGUAGCUGAAGGUACUGUACGAAUAAGCACCGGCUAACUCCGUG